CUGCUGCCACCUGUCCCCAACAAGUCCUGGGGACACCUGAGGAUGUGGAUGUCCUUGCUGUGUUUGGGACAUGCUCAGCCCUCCCCUUGCAGGGACCCCCAUGGCUCCAGUUGCCUCAGAGCCCCCUGGUCACACGGUGACAGCUCCAGCGAUGUCCUCAGGAAUGGGGACAGGGAAGGUUCCUGCUCAUCCCCACUCUGAGGACCCCAUCAUGAACUUCACCUUGAGGCUCCUGGAUGAGGACUCCAGUGCCACUCCAGAGAAGCUGCCAGUGCUCAGUCCCAGCUCUGUGAUCCACCUGGAAGCCAGUGUCCACUUCAGUCCCAGCAUCUCCAUGAAGAUCCACGUGGAUCAGUGCUACAGGACCACCACGGAGCAGCCAGGACACUCCAGGAGGGUCUCCAUGGUGGUGAACAGCCAUGGGUCAGUGCUGGUGGGACAGGAAGUAGGGUCAGGGUAGCUGGAGUAGGUGGCAUCACCUUCUGCAGCUACCCUGGGGUCCUGUAGGACCUCCUGCUGGAAAGGGAUGUCCAGAGUCUGGAGGCAGCUCUGGAAUGUCCUUUGUCACUCUCCUACCAUAGAUGCCUGCAUGGGGAGAAGCUGGGGAAUGUGUCUGUCCAGCACCAGAGAGGGGAAUCUGUCCUCCAGCUCUCCAUCCUGGCCCCCACACUGGAGGGUGAGGCUGAGGAAGAGCAGGUGAGGC
Molecule: long non-coding RNA, 703 nt
Filed under: Parus major (Great Tit)
Lineage: Eukaryota; Metazoa; Chordata; Aves; Passeriformes; Paridae
Description: lncRNA (ENSPMJG00000019089.1)
Source: RNAcentral